UGCUAGCUUAAUGGUCCAUCGACUAUUUCAUCAUGCCUACCCAUAAGGUCGACUCACUGCCUCUGCUACAACGGUUUAGGAAAUGGCCCGUCGCUAGAUCGACGGUCCAUCAGCCCUUUCUGUCGCACCUGGGUGGUUCAAAUUACUUUCUAUAUUUUGGCCAAAACUUUCUACUCCAAUACCAAAUUUAGGAAAAUUUGGUAUCGAUGG
Molecule: long non-coding RNA, 210 nt
Filed under: Capsicum annuum
Lineage: Eukaryota; Viridiplantae; Streptophyta; Magnoliopsida; Solanales; Solanaceae
Description: long non-coding RNA (CANN_LNC005091)
Source: RNAcentral